This 1533-nucleotide long non-coding RNA is filed under the name Chinchilla lanigera (long-tailed chinchilla). Its description in RNAcentral is "lncRNA (ENSCLAG00000027613.1)". The stretch from base 744 to 895 matches the Rfam family "U4 spliceosomal RNA". Lineage: Eukaryota; Metazoa; Chordata; Mammalia; Rodentia; Chinchillidae. The record is from RNAcentral.
CACUGGGCCAUCCCCUGUGUUUGUGGCUGGGAGUGCAGAAGGCAAUGGAGUAGACACAAGCCCUUGACCUCUGGGUGCUCCAGGCUAGCUGCAGAGACGGACAAGGAAGCAGGAGACCAACCUGCCGUGUGAUCUGUGCUCAGUGGGGGCAUGCUGAAGAGGACGGGCAGCUUCUAGAGGAGAAGAUGGCAGCUCUGACCUGGAGGACGAGCAGCAGCCAGGAAAAGGGGGCAGGUUCUACUACCCGGUUGGUUGUCAACAACCUGCUCAUCAGUCUUCAAGAUUCGGUGCUGUGCAGCCUCACCAUCUUGUGUGUGCUUCCAGGUUUCACAGAAUGGUUUUCUUCGGUGCUUAGAGAAAAUUCAAAGACUGGAAAGAUCCUGGAGGCACAAGGAGAAGGCAGAGAUGCAGAAAGAAGAAAGCUGAAAGGCUGAGUCUGAAAGCAUGAAGAAGAGUACAGCACUCAGAUCAAGCAUACUUCCAUCCAUAUAAACUACUGAAAAAGUGCUCUGCUGAAGUUACCAUCACCAUUUGCAAUCUGCCCGUUACUUCCUAUCUGUGUUAUUGUAGCUCAUUUAUAACUGGGUAGGUGUCACCUGGGGAACUGACUUCAUGAUCCAGGCCCACAAGGAGUCCUGACCCUUCCUUUCACGUGUGGAAAAUGCUGAUCUUGAGCUGCGGUUUCCAGAAUGUGUUACAGGCCCCCGAGGAGCACAAAAGACAAUUUACUAAAAUGAAGGGCAAACUUUGUUCAGUGACAGUAUCUUAGCCCAUGACGUGUAUCUGAGGUGUGAUUAUUGCUAAUUAAAAUAAAGAGUAAAAUAACAGAACAGCUAUUUGCAUUGUUUCUCUUUCAUUCUGAUAAAAUGCUUAUUUUUGUGUAUGCUUUAAAAGAUCUACUACUAUAGUGGUCUAUAUUGAUGCUGGUGUACUACACAUGCACACAUCGCAGAGGUUUGCUAACAAAUUUUUAUGGAUAAGGAUGGAUCUUCAGGAAAGUUUGGCAACUACGAUGGGGGUACCUCAAAUAAUUCAGUUUAAUAAUGAAACAACAAACCUCAAUAUUCCCUUAAUGGAUUUCUCUGAAAUAUUGUAAUUCAAAUCUUUGUCUUUCCGCAUGGUCGUCUGUAGCCCGAAGCGCGUUCUGCAGUGAAGUCACGGUGCAUCCGCAUGGAAGUUCCUCUGGCUUGGCCUGCGGAGAACAGUGUCCCCUCCCCGGGUGCUGGGGCCAUCACUGCUGCUCCCUGUCUUGGCAAGGCAGAGCCCCUCUUGGGGUCUCAGUUUAUUCCUUAAAGUUAGCUGCUUUUCCUCAUAUUUCUUUUCAUUCACUUAGAUUUUAUUAUAAAUCUAUGAAUAUUUAGAAACUCUUUAAUUUUUUUGGACCCUCAGUUAACUUCAACAGGAAAAUGCUGGAGGUUUUAAAAUUCAUCUGGGACCUGCCUGCACUCCCCCUUUGGCUCUGUUCGCCGUGAAAGCAUUUGAGGGUUUAUCUUUCUAUCAGGAAGCUUUAGAAGCACAACCCCUACCUAAUCA